GCAGCAACCUUGCAGGGAGAAUGAGAAGACUGGCUGAAGGGUGGAGAAAGAGAGAGGCUGUACAGGGGCGAGCAGCUUUCAAUCCAAUUUAAGCUCCUGUACGACGGCUCGGCUGCCAUGAAGAAUCACCCUUUUGUUCAGUUUGUAUUUCAACAGCUGGUGGUGGAUACAGAUCUAAUUUGCAGCAGUAUGAUGGAGUGAGCCUGGGCACAAAGCACUGCACGUGUCCUGUUUCCCAGCUCACCAGGGCACGGUUCUUAGCUUUAUCAGCUGCCUUUGAUCAGAGCUAUGAAUCUCACCACAGAGUGGAAACAGCAGAAGCAAAGGAGAGUGAGUGAUCCUGCCUUUCCUGAAUGCUGCACGGUGGUGAAGUCCAGGAAUAGGACUGAGGAGUAGACAAGCCAGUAGUAAUAUUACCUCUUGUGACAGGUUGGAUCACAGAAAACCCCCUUGAGGCUGCCAUCUGAUGUGCCAAGACUACUUCUUCCCCUGCUUUCCCUGCCAAUCUGGGACUCCAGAACCCUGCCUGGUUGUGCCAGACUCGCUUGCUGGCUACAAACACAGACCCAGGUCUGAACAACGUCCCACAAACUGCAGGCUCACCUGAAAACAGCUUAAGAAGUGUUUCUGUCUCCAACAUGCAGAUGCCCAACUCCCAAUGGGGUCCAAACCCAAAUAAAUUCGUUUUAGCCUGUAUAAAGCUUAUACAGGGUAAACUCAAAAAUUGUUCACCCUCUAUAACACUGAUAGAGAGAUAUGCACAGCUGUUGGCCCCCUCCCCCCCAGUAUUAAUACAUACUCUGGGUUAAUUAAUAAGUAAAAAGUGAUUUUAUUAAAUACAAAAAGUAGGAUUUAAGUGGUUCCAAGUAAUAACAGACAGAACAAAGUGAAUUACCAAGCAAAAUAAAAUAAAACAUGCAAGCCUUUGGCCUAAUACAGUAAGAAAGUGAUUACAGAUGAAACCUCACCCUCAGAGAUGUUCAAGUAAGCUUCUUUUACAGACUAGCCUGCUUCUAGUCUGAGUCCAGCAAUCACUCACACCCCCAUGGUUACAGUCUUUUUGUUCCACUUUCUUUCUGGUAUCCUUUGGGGCUGGAGAGACAAUCUCUUGAGCCAGCUGAAGACUAAAUGGAGGGGUCUCCCAGGGGGUUAAAUAGACUUUCUCUUGUGGGUGGACAGCCCUCCCUCCCCCUGUGUAGAAUCCCAGCUACAAGAUGGAUUUUUGGAGUCACAUGGGCAAGUCACAUGUCCAUGCAUGACUCAGAACUUACAGGUAGCAGCCAUUGUUCACAUGCUACCUUGAACGUCCUCAGGUAGACUUCUUAUGUGGAUUGGAGCCUUCCAAGAUCCAUUGUCAGUUAAGUGUUUCUUGACUGGGCACUGAACUUGCACAUUCCUUUCUAAAAAAGCCGCCCAAAUGCCUUACUAUGGCUACUUAAAAGCAAACAAGUACACAUCUAAUAUUCAUAACUUUGAAUGCAAAAAUGAUACAUUCAUACAAAUAGGAUGAAUAUAUUUAGUAGAUCAUAACCUUUGCAGCGAUAUGUUACAUGGCAUAUGUAGCAUAAAACAUAUUCCAGUUAUGUCAUAUUUACAUUCAUAAGCAUAUUUCCAUAAAGCAUUAUGGGGUGCAAUGUCACACCUCUGUCCACUAACUAUUGUAUGUCUACAUUCCAAGCUGGAGGUGUAAAUUCCAAAACACUAGGUAGAUAGGGUGGUUAGCCCCUCCCACCCCUUGCUCCUCAUGGCUGCGCUCUAUUUUUAAUGUGCUGGCUCGAUGGGGUAUGUCUCCUCGAGCUGGGAAUUGCAGCUCCAGCUUCAAGUGCAGACAUCCUCAGAGCGUGAGAGAGGAGAGCUUCACAGACCUGGCCUCUAAUCCCCCCAGCUGUAGGGGAUCCAGGGGUCCCAUAAGGUUUCAUAUGGCAAAUGCUGGACAUUGUGUUGGGAUGCAGUGAUGCUAUUCAGUAUGCAGACGGCACAGAGUGGAAUAAAACUGUGUGCACUUGGGUUCCCCUUCCUCUAGAAUUUUUUAGCUUCGGGCACUGUACUUGCCCUGUUGUUUCAGCCCAAGUAGACAGAAAACGUCUACACUGCAAUAAAAGACCUGCAGCACGGCCAUAGUUGGGCAAGGUCAGCUGACUCAUGCGUGCAGGGCUCGAGCUGCAGGGCUAUAAAAUUGCAGGGUAGAUGUUCAGGCUCGGGCUGGAGCCCAGGUUCUGAGACUCCGUGCUGUGGGCUUUGUCACAGUAUAGACAUACCCUGAAUGGGCGAUGGGAACAGUGGCUUGUUCUGGCUUGUAAAUAUAAUGGGCCAAAGUUAGCCACAGUGUUACUCCCGUGACAUCUGUGGGGUCACUGCAGUGAUGAAUCCAGCCCAGUGACCCUCUACUGUGGUUCUUUCGCUAGCCAGAAAAGGCAGGAACAAAUAUUAGUUUGAGCUGAUGUGACGUUAUUGACAUAAUCUGUAACUGUCUAGAUCACUGUUGCGACCACUGUUAUAUAUUUGCUGCAAAUACUGUAUAAAGAUUGUCGUUUAAGGGAUCUAUAGAGAGGUUAUGAUUAUGCUGUCUAUAUGUGUGUAUCAUUUUUGUAGUUAAAGUUAUGAAUAUUGGCUUUAUACUGUCUGUAUUUCAAACUUAUGCUAUGCUUCUGGGUGACACCCUAGACAAGUUGGUGACAGCUCUGCCUAGCCUGCUUGAUGGCCCAUUAAGGACCAUCAGCUACACAACUGACCCAUUGAGAGAAGGCAGAUACAAUUCUGCUGAUACAGACUAACACGGCUACCACUCUGAAACCAGAUACACCUUGUAACUCAGCAAAGUAUGCAGGGCUUGCCCCUGUGACUCCAAACUCCAUUUUGCUGUAAUUUUCCACAGUAAAAACAAAGAGGUGUUCUUACACCUGGAAAAGACUAUAAAAGGCUGAUGCCUCAUCUCCAUCUUGUCUUCAAUCCUGUUUCUUACCUCUGGAGAGACUUUGCUACAAACAGAAGCUCUGCACAAAGGACUGAAAGACCCAUCCCAGCUGUGGAUGUACUCCAGAGACCUGAUUUGAACCUGCAAUUUAUUCCAUCACUGCUGCAAACCUGAACCAAGACCUUUGCCAUUACUAUGAAAAAAAGCUGACUAGUGCCAGGGGCCAGGGAGGCUCCUGGGCAGCGAAUAAGGCACGGAUACACCCCUGGACCAGCGAGGAUUAAAAAUAAAUGCUGCCAGAUGGGCAGGCUCAAUGGUCUUUGCUCUCUCUUGGGACGAAGCGCACCUUCUGUCACUCCAGUUAGUAGAGGAGAUUGGGGACUGACUCAGUGCCCUGGCACAUUUCUCAUUACCCGAUGGCACGGUGACAAUAGCCUGUUUCACUGGAUUGAACGAAAUAAACUCAGUUCAAUACCCAGUGGCCAGGGAUCCACAUCACAAAAAUACCCUACAACCAAUCGCCCCCCAGGAAUCGGCUCUCCAACCCAGGACUGACAAGGGCUGUGGAGAGUGAGCUCCCCCUCGCCCAACAGGGGAUCCCCUCCGGGGAGGCUUGCCGGCGGGGGUGGUGUGUAUGGGGAGAUUGCCCUGCUACUGCCCAUUCUGUCCCCUUUCUGUGGCUAAGGGCAGGUUGCUAAUCUUCAGGGCUGUCAAUACAGGAAGACUUUCAGCCGUGCUAGAGACAUAGAACGUGCAGAGAGACACCCAGACGGCCUUGUCGCAGUGUUUAUAAAUGGGUUAGGUAAUAAUCCAAUCUGGGCACUGUCUGUCUAGCUGGGCUUUGUUCUCCUGCUGUAGCUGGAACACGGUCAGUCUGCAGCAUGGUCCUUUCUGCUGUGAUUUGCAUUCAUGAAAAGGAACUGACAGCUUUACACUGAGGGAGUAGAAAAGCACAUGAAGGGGACUCUGAGGUUUACAGCAUGGCCUGUCCCCAGGGCUUUGAUAUGUAGCGUUGGCACCUUGAGCGGUCUAGUGUAAAUUUAGCUGUGGGUUUUAUUGUGACUGUUAACCUGUGCUUGGACUAAGGCUAUGUCUAGACUAUAGGCGCAACAGCAUCACAGCUGCAGCUAUGCGGCUGUAGUGUAGACACCCGGGAUAGUGAUGGAGGGUUUUUUUCCAUCACUGUAGUAAAUCCACCCACUUGAGAGGCGGUAGCUAGGUCAACGGUGUCACACUGUCUGGAGAGGCUCAUGACCAUGAGUGCCAACCUCCAGGCAGACUGUUAAGAAACAGGGCAUGACCCCAAACUGGUUGUGAGUUCUCUACUUAGAUUUCACCAACUAAGUAUCAUCUGUGAACUCAAGGGCUACAACAGCAUUAACAUGGAGUCAGAGACAGUUCACUCUGUCUCGACGCCUAGGCGAGCCUGCCUUUGUGAUAGACAGUCCCUUAUACCAAAAAGCACACUAAUAUUUGGGUUACUCCCAGUCCCAAAGGACCAGUCAUAGAUUCAUAGAUACUAAGGUCAGAAGGGACCAUUAUGAUCAUCUAGUCUGACCUCCUGCACAACGCAGGCCACAGAAUCUCACCCUCCCACUCCUGCGAAAAACCUCUCACCUAUGUCUGAGCUAUUGAAGUCCGCAAAUCGUGGUUUAAAGACUUCAAGGUAGCAGAGAAUCCUCAAGCAAGUGACCCGUGCCCCAUGCUACAGAGGAAAGUGAAAAACCUCCAAGGCCUCUUCCAAUCUGCCCUGGAGGAAAAUUCCUUCCCGACCCCAAAUAUGGCGAUCAGCUAAACCCUGAGCAUAUGGGCAAGAUUCACCAGCCAGAUACUACAGAAAAUUAUUUUCUGUAGUAACUCAGAUCCCACCCCAUCUAAUAUCCCAUCACAGGCCAUUGGGCCUAUUUACCAUGAAUAUUUAAAUAUCAAUUAAUUACCAAAAUCAUGUUAUCCCCUCAGACCAUCUCCUCCAUAAACUUAUCGAGUUUAAUCUUAAAGCCAGAUAGGUCUUUUGCCCCCACUGCUUUCCUUGGAAGGCUGUUCCAGAACUUCACUCCUCUGAUGGUUAGAAACCUUCGUCUAAUUUCAAGUCUAAACUUCCCAAUGACCAGUUUAUAUCCAUUUGUUCUUGUGUCCACAUUAGUACUGAGCUUAAAUAAUUCCUCUCCCUCUCUGGUAUUUAUCCCUCUGAUAUAUUUAUAGAGAGCAAUCAUAUCUCCCCUCAGCCUUCUUUUGGUUAGGCUAAACAAGCCAAGCUCCUUGAGCCUCCUUUCAUAAGACAGGUUUUCCAUUCCUCGGAUCAUCCUAGUAGCCCUUCUCUGUACCUGUUCCAGUUUGAAUUCAUCCUUCUUAAACAUGGGAGACCAGAACUGCACACAGUAUUCCAGGUGAGGUCUCACCAGUGCCUUGUAUAACGGUACUAAAACCUCCUUAUCCCUACUGGAAAUACCUCUCCUGAUGCAUCCCAAGACCGCAUUAGCUUUUUUCACGGCCAUAUCACAUUGGCGGCUCAUCGUCAUCCUAUGAUCAACCAAUACUCCAAGGUCCUUCUCCUCCUCUGUUACUUCCAAUUGAUGCGUCCCCAGCUUAUAACUAAAAUUCUUGUUAUUAAUCCCUAAAUGCAUAACCUUACACUUCUCACUAUUAAAUUUCAUCCUAUUACUAUUACUCCAGUUUACAAGGUCAUCCAGAUCCUCCUGUAGGAUAUCCCUGUCCUUCUCUAAAUUGGCAAUACCUCCCAACUUUGUAUCAUCCGCAAACUUUAUUAGCACAUUCCCACUUUUUGUGUCAAGGUCAGUAAUAAAUAAGAUUGGUCCCAAAACUGAUCCCUGAGGAACUCCACUGGUAACCUCCCUCCAGCCUGACAGUUCACCUUUCAGUAGGACCCGCUGUAGUCUCCCUGUUAAUCAAUUCCUUAUCCACCUUUCAAUUUUCAUAUUGAUCCCCAUCUUUUCCAAUUUAACUAAUAAUUCCCCAUGUGGCACGGUAUCAAACGCCUUACUGAAAUCUAGGUAAAUUAGAUCCACUGUGUUUCCUUUGUCUAAAAAAUCUAUUACUUUCUCAAAGAAGGAGAUCAUGUUGGUUUGGCAUGAUCUGGCAUUUGUCUGCUAAACCCAGGGUUGCGAGUUCAAUCCUUGAGGGGGCCAUUUAGGGAUCUGGGGCAAAAAUUGGGGAUUGGUCCUGCUUUGAGCAGGGGGUUGGACUAGAUGACCUCCUGAGGUCCCUUCCAACCUUGAUAUUCUAUGAUUCUAUGAUUCUAUUUUGUCCCAAUUACCAUUGACCUCAAUGUCCUUAACUACUUUCUCCUUCAAAAUUUUUUCCCAAGACCUUGCAUACUACAGAUGUCAAACUAGCAGGCCUGUAGUUACCCGGAUCACUUUUUUUCCUUUCUUAAAAAUAGGAACUAUGUUAGCAAUUCUCCAGUCAUACGGUACAAUCUCUGAGUUUACAGAUUCAUUAAAAAUUCUUGCUAAUGGGCUUGCAAUUUCAUGUGCCAAUUCCUUUAAUAUUCUUGGAUGAAGAUUAUCUGGGCCCCCCGAUUUAGUCCCGUUAAGCUGUUCGUGUUUCGCUUCUACUUCAGAUAUGGUAAUAUCUUCCUCCAUAUCACUUACCCCAGGUCAAGUGCAACCUAGAUCUCUCACCAAAGACAAUCCUGUAAUAAACUAACUAAAGGUUUAUUAACUAGGAAGAAGAAAUAAGAGAGUUAUUUACAAGGUUAAAGCAGGUAAACAUACACACUCAAAUGAGUUACAGUCUUAGGUUCCAAAAGAUGAUAGUAGCUGGUAUAUAGGCAAGCUUUAUAUGUCCCUUAGGCCUAAUCCAAGCUAAACCUCUAGGGCCCCCUUGCUUAUGCUUAGAAAUCUUCACCCCGCAGAGUUCAAGCAGCAUCGGGAUACAAUUUCUCCUUAUCAGGGAUUUUUAUUUCCGUCCCCCAGCAUUCAAGCUGUGAUGGGAUGAGGGCUUGUGCAGGUCCCUGCUUCAUAGGUGUGGGGCGACCAAUCCACAAAGUCUUUUGUCCACUGAUGUUCCAUAGUGGUUUGUCUGGUGGCUGUCGGCCUUCUUUUGUUGGGGUGGAGAUGACACCUCUUGUGGUAAACUAGUAUUUCACACUUGGUAAUGCUUCUCUCCUUGCUGGGGGCUUAGCAAACACUUUAAUAGUUGCAGAGCAAACCCUUACACAUUGCCUUAUACCACGGGAUCCAGGUAUUGGACGUAAGAUCAAUACAUGCAGCAUCCUACAAGCAUUUCAUAAAAUCUAAACACAUUCUUGUAAUGCUAAUAUCUGUUUUAACAACACUAACGCACAGGUGAGCCAGACUGGUUUCCAGCUCUGCAUUUGUCAGUGUUCAGCGAGGCCCAGUGGCUUUGGCAUGAGCUGGCACCUGGUCUGCCAGGGUCACAAACGGAAAAGCUCUUCUGCUGACCUCACAGUGCCUAUAGUGGGGCUUAGGUCAGUUUAACUAUGUCUCUCCGGGGUGUGAGAACCUGAGCCAUGCAGCUAGGUCAACCUACGUUUUAGGUGUAGAGCUGGUUUUAGUCAUACCUAAUGCUAGAGGUUAUGGCUGUUUGGACUGAUUUUGUGGGUAUGGGCUAGAGGAGGGCACUGGGAGGUAGGAGUCCAUUCCUAGGUUGGCUCGGGGUGCCGGGGGAGGGCUAGGACACGUAGGCUAGGACAGAAGACUGGGAGCUAACACUCCUGGGUUCUGUUCCCAGCCUUGUCUCUGGGUACAUCUACACUGCAGCUGGCGAUGGGAUUGCAGCCUGGGGAUUGCACACCCGCACUAGCUUUAAUCCAGUUAGCACAGCUCAAAAUAGCAGUGAAGCUGGAGUGGCACGGAGGUCAGCAUGGGCUAGACAUGCCAGUACCUAGCUAGGCAGACUAGGUGGGUUUGUAUGUGCUGCAGCUGGUAGGCAUUUCUGUCAGGCCAGGGUGCAUGCAUGGAGUCAGGCUUCUAGCAGAUGGAGGGGGCAAGAUCCAUAGGCUUUAGCCUCGUUAAUCCCACAGAUUCUUGGUCUCUGUGCAAUCUGCAGCCCAAGAUCCUUCUCAGAUCUUCACUGCCACAGCCUCUGAGAGGGGACAAUAUAGCAGAACGGAGCCAGGCAAGUAAAUUCUUCCUUCCUGCGCCUUUUCACUAGUAAGAAGAAGACCUGGAGCUAUGUAAACUCUGCCCAGCCCAUUGCUAUAAAUACCCUCUCUGGGCCAUACCUGUAUCUCCUCCCGCCCAUCUCCCAGUAACCACCCCAUGAAACAUACCUUUCCUCCAUACCUGUACCCCUUGUCCACACUGAAAUUACAACCAGGUUUACAGCGCUCCUUGCAGACAGCUAACUUAGCCCAAAGAUGCUGUAGAUGAUCCUCCACCCCAGACAGGCUCCAGAUCCAAACUCCCCAUGAUAUGGCAGGGAGGGGCAGAUUGCAGAUUUUUGUUUGGCCCAGCGCAGACAGUGCUGCAGAAUACAGACCCUGGUCUGACUAUUUCUGGAGUUCUGGCUUGGUUCAGACCUAUGUCUAGAAGGAGAGUAGCUGUAAACAAGAGGUGGAGGCUUCUCAUGCUCUUCCUGAACCGGUAAAUUCUGCAGGCUACGGCAGAUUGCUCCAGGAAACAUAUCCUUUCAGCACCGCCAGUUGCAGUUGGCACAUCUGUGCAUUCCUGGAUGCAAAAGGACAUGUUAUUACAGCUUCUGAUGAGGCGCUGGCCAGCCCAGCCUGCCAGCAUAACAGAGGUGGGUGAAAGAAACAUGCCUGGGGAAUUUCCAGAGCAGGAGUUAUUGCUUCACUAAAUACCUUCUCUCCCUCCUUUCUGCCUCCCUCUCUCAAUGUUCUCCUAGGCUUGCUUUUUGGACAGCACGCUCUGUACACCUACAUCUUGCCCCUCCCCAGUCUGGUGACUCAAAGGACAGGGAUCAAAGCCCCAAAGGGUUAUAGUGGGGGCCGGGAGGAGAGAAGGAGCUAUUGGGCCAAGGGUGCCGGGUUUUCCUGCAAAGGCUUCAGAGCAGAAGUUGAGCCAUCCUGCUAUGUGCAUGCAUGUGCUUGCAACACUUAAAGUGGGUGGGGUCUUCUGGCAUCACAGACACAGCCCAAGAAAAGUGCAGCUCUACAGAGAGUUGGGGCUCGGUGCCCUGGGUCUGUAUGAUGUGGUCAAGUCAGCAGCAGCUGUUUCCUGCUGGCAGCCGGGGAAUGCGGUCUUUCCUGCCUCCGUCCCUUAAGCUUUCUGCUCUAUUCGGGACAGGAGAUUUCUUGCAUUGGUGCCGUAACGUCUCCGACUGGACUGGGGCAUGGAGAUGCAGGGUCCAGGGAUGGGUCUGGGUGAAUUUCAGAGGGGAAAUCAGCACUGAUGGUGAUUUGUCUUGAUUGAAGAUCUCUUGGGUGUGGUGUUAGCAACGUGCUGGUCAGGGCUCAAGGCCACGGUAGCCUCGGCUCAAUGUCUGCUCUAGGCCCGUCCAAACACAUGCCACCCCCCAAAUGGCACACUCAGACCAGUCCAGCAUGGCAGUCCCUCCGCUGCUCUCAAAUAUUUUAAAAAGGGCUGUCCCUUUCCAGGAAGUCUUGGCAAUGUCCUGAAAUGCGCUGCCCCUAACAAUCUGGUCUGCACUCAUAAUAUUCCACCCUGGAGUAACCACAGACCCAAGACUUCUUUGAGAUCACAGUGAGCGCCAUGUGUGCCUGUCAGUCUGACUUGUAUGGGUGGGCCCGUGUGCACAUGUGUCUGUGCAUACAUGCUGCAUAUACAUCUCUGAGCACGCAACUUUGUGUGUGUAGAUGCGUCUAGAUGCGUUGCUGAGCAGUCUUUCUGGGCAUGUAUACUUUGGUCCCUCUGUGCAUUUGGGGGCAUAUGUGUUUGCAGAUCUGUAUCAUACAGCUAAGUGUAACAAAUAGUUUUAAUUCUUCUAUUCCUCCUUCCUCUUUAAUUCCACGCCAUCAG
Molecule: long non-coding RNA, 9837 nt
Organism: Caretta caretta (loggerhead turtle)
Lineage: Eukaryota; Metazoa; Chordata; Testudines; Cheloniidae
Source: RefSeq, a predicted model, not a curated record